Molecule: ribosomal RNA, 437 nt
Filed under: uncultured bacterium
Lineage: Bacteria
Description: partial 16S ribosomal RNA
Rfam family: Bacterial small subunit ribosomal RNA
Source: RNAcentral
AGCGAACGCUGGCGGCAGGCUUAACACAUGCAAGUCGAGCGGGCAUCCUUGUGGUGUCAGCGGCAGACGGGUGAGUAACGCGUGGGAACGUGCCCUUCGGUUCGGAAUAACUCAGGGAAACUUGAGCUAAUACCGGAUACGUGCGAGAGCAGAAAGGUUUAUCUGCCGAAGGAUCGGCCCGCGUCUGAUUAGCUAGUUGGUGAGGUUACGGCUCACCAAGGCGACGAUCAGUAGCUGGUCUGAGAGGAUGAUCAGCCACACUGGGACUGAGACACGGCCCAGACUCCUACGGGAGGCAGCAGUGGGGAAUAUUGGACAAUGGGGGCAACCCUGAUCCAGCCAUGCCGCGUGAGUGAUGACGGCCUUAGGGUUGUAAAGCUCUUUUCUCCGGGACGAUAACGACGGUACCGGAGGAAUAAGCCCCGGCUAACUUCGUG